Molecule: unclassified non-coding RNA, 754 nt
Filed under: Hevea brasiliensis (rubber tree)
Lineage: Eukaryota; Viridiplantae; Streptophyta; Magnoliopsida; Malpighiales; Euphorbiaceae
Source: RNAcentral
AACAAGAAACCAAGUGCAAAGUAGACAAGUGGAGCAUUGGUAGGGCAAUUGUACAUACUUACAGCAAAAUUUAUCAAUAACAAACUACUUGUUAGGAUUAUAUAACAGCUUGAGCUGUUGUAUUCCUAGUGAUAUGGAGGAGUUGAUUGAACACACAACUCUGACUCAUCUCCUUCAUCAUCGUCGUCAUCUGCUUCUACCCAGUUACUAGGAUGGUGUUGAGAAGCAUGACCUUCCAAAUCCACCAUGCCUUGAGGUUCUUCCAAAGGAUUCCUGUCCACAGAAUGGAAGUCAUUAGGUAUGUCAGACAUAUUUCUUCCAGCAGCUCCAGCUUCAGAUAUGUGUAUCACACCAAUUUUCUGAAUUUCCCUUUGCACAUUAUCGCUCUCGUUUCUUUCCUUUCCGUGUUCAGCAUCAUUACCACCUCUUGUUCUGCUUCCUGAAAGAUCAGACCAAAUUCUGGUCUGAUCAGAUGGAAGCCCAGAAUUCCCUUUUGACCUCUCCUGGACUGGGGCCUGUCUUCCAUCAUUAGCCUGCCCAUAGGAAGUGCCAGCAGAUUGUGGAUUUUCCAAGGAGCUUGCAGUGUUGAGCUGUGACACAAGCAUGGUUGCAAGUACCAAAGUGGCAUCAAAAGUUGAGUUGGAGCCAUCGUCUAAACCAAAUUUUGGAGCCAUUAAAAUUGGCUCGCCAGCUUUAUCAAAAUAGAACUGUAUGUCAACUUCACAUCCCUCACAGAAAGAAAGGAAAGCUUUCG